CCUACGGGAGGCAGCAGUGAGGAAUAUUGGUCAAUGGGCGCGCGCCUGAACCAGCCAAGUAGCGUGAAGGAUGACUGCCCUACGGGUUGUAAACUUCUUUUAUAAAGGAAUAAAGUGAGGCACGUGUGCCUUUUUGUAUGUACUUUAUGAAUAAGGCUCGGCUAACUCCGUGCCAUCAGCCGCGGUAAUACGGAGGAUCCGAGCGUUAUCCGGAUUUAUUGGGUUGAAAGGGAGAGUAGAUGGGUUGUUAAGUCAGUUGUGAAAGUUUGCGGCUCAAACGUAAAAUUGCAAUUGAUACUGGCAGUCUUGAGUACAGUUGAGGUAGGCGGAAUUCGUGGUGUAGCGGUGAAAUGCUUAGAUAUCACGAAGAACUCCGAUUGCGAAGGCAGCUUACUAAACUGCCACUGACAUUGAUGCUCGAAAGUGUGGGUAUCAAACAGGAUUAGAUACCCUAGUAGUC
Molecule: ribosomal RNA, 460 nt
Filed under: uncultured bacterium
Lineage: Bacteria
Description: partial 16S ribosomal RNA
Rfam family: Bacterial small subunit ribosomal RNA
Source: RNAcentral